RNAcentral lists this long non-coding RNA (223 nucleotides) under Lathyrus oleraceus (garden pea). RNAcentral describes it as "Pisum sativum (pea) long non-coding RNA (PSAT_LNC035836)". The record is from RNAcentral. Lineage: Eukaryota; Viridiplantae; Streptophyta; Magnoliopsida; Fabales; Fabaceae.
UCACCUAUAUCCUUAGUGAUGGACAAUGAGUCUUCCAUGCUUAUUAUAGGGUUAACCCCUCACUAGUAUGUUGAAGCUAUCCUUACAUGGUGGAUUUGUGGUUUUUAGGUUGAGUUUUCUCCCUUGGAUAACAAAAGACCUUAAGGCUUUUGGACCAAUCAAUUCACCAACUUGUUUCGAGAUUUUUACCCCGAACUACGAGGUUUUGAUCCUAAUCUUUUUU